Myotis davidii is the source of this 207-nucleotide long non-coding RNA. RefSeq lists it as uncharacterized. The record is from RefSeq and is a predicted model, not a curated record. NCBI's taxonomy places the organism in Eukaryota, Metazoa, Chordata, Mammalia, Chiroptera, Vespertilionidae. The transcript has 3 exons.
CCUGAGAUGGGAGCCGCCUCCUCAGACCUUCAUCUUCAUCAUCAUGGGCAUCGCUGAAGGCCUGGUUCUGCUGGGAGCUGUGGCUGGAGCUGUGAUGUGGGGGGGGAGGCGCUCAGGUGGGAAAGGAGGGAUUUACGCUCAGGCUGCCAGUGAGUAUAGAGGGGGGGGACCCCUGAGUCCUUGUGACAGUGCAGAUGGGAGCCAUGG